GACGAACGCUGGCGGCGUGCUUAACACAUGCAAGUCGAACGGAAAGGCCUUUUCGGAGGUACUCGAGCGGCGAACGGGUGAGUAACACGUGGGUGAUCUGCCCUGCACUCUGGGAUAAGCCUGGGAAACUGGGUCUAAUACCGGAUAGGACCGCACUUUAGUGUGUGUGGUGGAAAGUUUUUUCGGUGUAGGAUGAGCCCGCGGCCUAUCAGCUUGUUGGUGGGGUAAUGGCCUACCAAGGCGGCGACGGGUAGCCGGACUGAGAGGUUGGUCGGCCACAUUGGGACUGAGAGACGGCCCAGACUCCGACGGGAGGCAGCAGGGGGGAAUAUUGCACAAUGGGCGCAAGCCUGAUGCAGCGACGCCGCGUGGGGGAUGACGGCCUUGGGGUUGUAAACUCCUUUCGCCAGGGACGAAGCGUUUUGUGACGGUACCUGGAGAAGAAGCACCGGCUAACUACGUG
This 463-nucleotide ribosomal RNA is filed under the name uncultured bacterium. RNAcentral describes it as "partial 16S ribosomal RNA". It matches the Rfam family "Bacterial small subunit ribosomal RNA", at positions 28 to 507 of the family's 1533-position model. The record is from RNAcentral.